This 1239-nucleotide small RNA is filed under the name Rattus norvegicus (Norway rat). RNAcentral's name for it is "uncharacterized LOC103693729". The record is from RNAcentral. Lineage: Eukaryota; Metazoa; Chordata; Mammalia; Rodentia; Muridae.
CAUGCACAUACACAUAUACGCAUACACGUGUGAGCUCACACACUUCAGACACUUGCUCUAUCUACCAGCCCUCCAAAGAGCAUAGCCCAUAGCCUCUUAAUAAUAAUGGCUUUUGUCAUUUCAAGAGAUUUGCUUCUGAGAAACAGCAUCGCUCCAACUGCCCCCUGGUGAGCAAUCCAGGAGUGAUAGCAUAUUCUCUGUGUUGUUGGGAUAUAAUUUUUAAAUAAGAAACUGCCACCAAGUGUAACUGUAAUUUUUCUAAGCUCUAAGUUGAAGUUUGAGGAGCCCAGCCUGACUCUCCCAUCUGGUUAAUUACUAUAAUUAAACUUUACAAGCGUUUUUUUUUUUUAAGUAUGCAAAAACCAUGCACACACACACACAAUUCUUUUUAAAAGAGGUUGUCCACAGUUCGGAAAAACACUGCACGGCUCCCCAGGAGUGCUUUUCCUGGAAAUAAUAUCUUUUUGACAUUAUUCCCAAGACAGUGUGAGAAGGUGUUGCCUAAACCUGUGGAAAAGUCCGUGCGUGAAUUUCCAAGGCAAGGCUGCUUGCUAAGAGAAAAAAUGCUAAAGAAGAGAGGUGCCACUGCUCUGAUUGGAAAUCCACCUGAGUUUUUACCCUCGUGCGACCUCCAGCUGCCCCCACUCAGCACCUAUGGUGCGGGGAAGGCGACCGGUGCAAGCCACUGCCUAUAUGAUUUGCAACUGGGCAGGUGAACUCUUCCCUGCAGCUGGAUGAAUAAUGAAUGGAGCCGGGAAUGGAAACAGAGAGAGAGCCCAACAGUGGAUGAAGUCGUCCCUCUCCCACCACGCCACUCCCUUCCCCCUCUGCAAGUGCUAACCCAGCCACUGUCCCCGCGGCUCUGAGCAGGCUCUUGAAGAAGUGGGUUGGAGCCCCCCCAACCCCCCAAAGAAACCCCAGGGAUAAGAGAAGCUCACACACUGUCGUUGACCACUUCUUCUUCCUUGAGAAGCAGGCAGCCUCGUGCUCUCGGUGCCGAUUAAGAUUUAUUUCAUAGCAACUGAAACCUCACCAUCCAGAGCACUCUAACCUACUACUUAUAAAAUCUUAAGUGGUCUUUAAGAGGGGAGACUUAUUGGAGCGAGGAAAGCAAAACAGAACAGCGGAGCUUAGGUGAGGAUUGAGAGCAACUGCUCGCUUCUCACUUAGCUUCCGAGUAGCUGCUUUUCCUUGAGGAGAAGGGUAGAAGUGGAAGGAAGAUUCAUCCAGGUUCAGAAA